This 1012-nucleotide ribosomal RNA is filed under the name Hemilucilia segmentaria. Its description in RNAcentral is "eukaryotic LSU rRNA". It matches the Rfam family "Eukaryotic large subunit ribosomal RNA", at positions 51 to 883 of the family's 3401-position model. The record is from RNAcentral. Lineage: Eukaryota; Metazoa; Arthropoda; Insecta; Diptera; Calliphoridae.
GGGAGGAAAAGAAACUAACAAGGAUUUUCUUAGUAGCGGCGAGCGAAAAGAAAAUAGUUCAGCACUAAGUCACUUUGUCUUAAUGGCAAAUGUGAGAUGCAGUGUAUGGAAUGUCAAAUUUCUAGUAUGAGAAAUUAACGAUUUAAGUCCUUCUUAAAUGAGGCCAUUUACCCAAAGAGGGUGCCAGGCCCGUAUAACGUUAAUGAUUACUAGAUGGCAUUUCCAAAGAGUCGUGUUGCUUGAUAGUGCAGCACUAAGUGGGUGGUAAACUCCAUCUAAAACUAAAUAUAACCAUGAGACCGAUAGUAAACAAGUACCGUGAGGGAAAGUUGAAAAGAACUCUGAAUAGAGAGUUAAAUAGUACGUGAAACUGCUUAGAGGUUAAGCCCGAUGAACCUGAAUAUCCGUUAUAGAAAAUUCAUCAUUAUGAUUUUAAUAUUAAUAAUAUUAUAAUAAUGGUGUGCAUUUUUUCUAUAAAAGGACAUUGUAAUCUAUUAACAUACAUUAAUUUAUCAUAAGAUCAAGAUACGAAGUUUAUUUAAAUUAUUCUGCUUGCAAUUUAACAUAGAAUAAACGUUCUUGAUUUGAUAAAGUGUUGAUAGAUUUAUUAUAUAUAGUGCUUAAAUAUUUUAUAUUUUAUAAUGGCAUAUUAAUCAUUGAUUUUUAUGUUUAUUAUAUGCACUUAUAUGAUUAACAAUGCGAAAGAUUCGGGAUACCUUCGGGACCCGUCUUGAAACACGGACCAAGGAGUCUAACAUAUUUGCAAGUUAUUGGGAAUAAAAACCUAAUAGCGAAAUUAACAUAACUUAAAUUAAUGGGAUUAAUUUUUAGCCUAUUUAUAGUCUAUUAAUUCAAUCCCGGGGCGUUCUAUAUAGUUAUGUAUAAUAAUAUUUAUAUUAUUUAUACCUCUAACUAGAGCGUACCUUGAGCAUAUAUGCUGUGACCCGAAAGAUGGUGAACUAUACUUGAUCAGGUUGAAGUCAGGGGAAACCCUGAUGGAAGACCGAAACAG